GAUGAACGCUGGCGGCGUGCCUAAUACAUGCAAGUCGAGCGAAUGGAUUAAGAGCUUGCUCUUAUGAAGUUAGCGGCGGACGGGUGAGUAACACGUGGGUAACCUGCCCAUAAGACUGGGAUAACUCCGGGAAACCGGGGCUAAUACCGGAUAACAUUUUGAACCGCAUGGUUCGAAAUUGAAAGGCGUCUUCGGCUGUCACUUAUGGCUGGACCCGCGUCGCAUUAGGUAGUUGGUGAGGUAACGGCUCACCAAGGCAACGAUGCGUAGCCGACCUGAGAGGGUGAUCGGCCACACUGGGACUGAGACACGGCCCAGACUCCUACGGGAGGCAGCAGUAGGGAAUCUUCCGCAAUGGACGAAAGUCUGACGGAGCAACGCCGCGUGAGUGAUGAAGGCUUUCGGGUCGUAAAACUCUGUUGUUAGGGAAGAACAAGUGCUAGUUGAAUAAGCUGGCACCUUGACGGUAUCUAACCAGAAAGCCACGGCUAACUACGUGCCAGCCGCCGCCGUAA
RNAcentral lists this ribosomal RNA (515 nucleotides) under uncultured bacterium. RNAcentral's name for it is "partial 16S ribosomal RNA". It matches the Rfam family "Bacterial small subunit ribosomal RNA", at positions 28 to 523 of the family's 1533-position model. The record is from RNAcentral.